Molecule: ribosomal RNA, 1244 nt
Filed under: metagenome
Description: bacterial LSU rRNA
Rfam family: Bacterial large subunit ribosomal RNA
Source: RNAcentral
UGAAUACGAGACGCUAAGGCGUCGAAGUAGUGUAUGUCAUACUUCCAAGAAAAGCUUGCACUGUCAUAAAUAGAAAAUGCCUGUACCAUUACCGACACAGGUGGGUAGGUAGAGUAUACUAAGGGGCGCGAGAUAACUCUCUCUAAGGAACUCGGCAAAAUAACUCCGUAACUUCGGGAGAAGGAGUGCCUUAUUUAUAAGGUUGCAAUAACAAGAUCCAAGCAACUGUUUAUCAAAAACACAGGUCUCCGCUAAGUCGCAAGACGAUGUAUGGGGGCUGACGCCUGCCCAGUGCCAGAAGGUUAAAGAAGUUGGUUAGCACUUGCGAAGCUGAUAACUGAAGCCCUGGUGAACGGCGGCCGUAACAAUAACGGUCCUAAGGUAGCGAAAUUCCUUGUCGGGUAAGUUCCGACCCGCACGAAAGGCGUAAUGAUUUGGAUACUGUCUCGGAGAGGGGCUCGGUGAAAUAGACUUGUCUGUGAAGAUGCGGACUACCUGCACCAGGACAGAAAGACCCUAUGAAGCUUUACUGUAACUUGAAAUUGAAAUUGGACUUUAUUUGCGCAGUAUAGGUGGGAGGCGUUGAUUGUAAUCUUGCGGGAUUAUUGGAGCCAUCAGUGAGAUACCACUCUUGUAAUGUUAGAUUUCUAACUUUGUAUCAUUAUCUGGUCAAAGAACAGUUUCAGGCGGGCAGUUUGACUGGGGCGGUCGCCUCCUAAACGGUAACGGAGGCGUACAAAGGUUUCCUCUGAACGGUUAGAAAUCGUAUCUAGAGUGUAAAGGCAUAAGGAAGCUUGACUGUGAGACCUACAAGUCGAGCAGGGACGAAAGUCGGUCUUAGUGAUCUGACGGUACUGAGUGGAAAGGCCGUCACUCAACGGAUAAAAGUUACUCUAAGGAUAACAGGCUGAUCUCCCCCAAGAGUUCACAUCGACGGGGAGGUUUGGCACCUCGAUGUCGGCUCAUCGCAUCCUGGGGCGGUAGUACGUCCCAAGGGUUGGGCUGUUCGCCCAUGAAAGCGGUACGCGAGCUGGGUUCAGAACGUCGUGAGACAGUUCGGUCCAUAUCCGGUGUAGGCGUUAGAAUAUUGAGAGGAGCCUUCUUUAGUACGAGAGGACCGAGAGGGACAUACCUCUGGUGUACCAGUUAUCGUGCCAACGGUAAACGCUGGGUAGCUAUGUAUGGAGUGGAUAACCGCUGAAAGCAUCUAAGUGGGAAGCCCACCUCAAGAUAAGUAUUCUCAC